UCGGGAAUUUUGGGCAAUGGGCGAAAGCCUGACCCAGCAACGCCGCGUGAAGGAUGAAGUAUUUCGGUAUGUAAACUUCGAAAGAAUAGGAAGAAUAAAUGACGGUACUAUUUAUAAGGUCCGGCUAACUACGUGCCAGCAGCCGCGGUAAUACGUAGGGACCAAGCGUUGUUCGGAUUUACUGGGCGUAAAGGGCGCGUAGGCGGCAAUUCAAGUCAUCUGUGAAAUCUCCGGGCUUAACUCGGAACGGUCAGAUGAUACUGCUUUGCUAGAGUGCAGAAGGGGCAAUCGGAAUUCUUGGUGUAGCGGUGAAAUGCGUAGAUAUCAAGAGGAACACCUGAGGUGAAGACGGGUUGCUGGGCUGACACUGACGCUGAGGUGCGAAAGCGUGGGGAGCAAACAGGAUUAGAUACCCCAGUAGUCCUGAGCGGGCUGGCAAGGCGCAU
This 446-nucleotide ribosomal RNA is filed under the name uncultured bacterium. Its description in RNAcentral is "bacterial SSU rRNA". It matches the Rfam family "Bacterial small subunit ribosomal RNA", at positions 355 to 825 of the family's 1533-position model. The record is from RNAcentral.